Ciona intestinalis (vase tunicate) is the source of this 648-nucleotide non-coding RNA. NCBI's taxonomy places the organism in Eukaryota, Metazoa, Chordata, Ascidiacea, Phlebobranchia, Cionidae. The record is from RefSeq and is a predicted model, not a curated record.
CCAUAACGAUGUUGAACCAACACUGCAAACAUUCAUAUCUUUCCUGUGUACAUAACGUCUAAUUUAUCAAUAUACCGACGUCACAAUAUUAUGUUUGUGACGUACCUGCCAGUUGCAUUAUGACGCAAUAUACCCCAAUCAUGACACAACAAAAUUAACAAAUGGAUAAUUUUUUACCAAAUUUUGUCAAAAUUAAAAUGUCGCCUCAAACCAAAGCCAGAAACGUGAGGUUUGUGAACAACAACACACAAAUGCAAGAAUAUGUUUUGAUUAAAAUGCUGCGGUAUGCUGCCACCAAGUGCCCAGAAGACGACUUUGAAAGAAUUUGUCAAAAAUUUAAAAUAAAUGGUGAUGACGUCACAACUAUAAUGUCACAAGAAGGCAAGAGUUUUCGGGAUCGUUUAUUUAAAUUGUUUACAAUUUGGCGAGAAAGGUAAAAAAAUGCAAAAAUAUUGAUAAUAUUUUAACCCCCUUCCCCUAGACAGCCCGUCGCACCAGAUGUUGUUCAGCAAAAGUUUAUUCACGCGAUAGACUUGGUCGACCUUCCAAGACUUGUGUCUCAACUGCGAGCCAUCACAACUUAUACAAAAGCAACUCGACUGUAGCGUUCGUUGUUCAAUAUAUUUACCAAACGCUCAGAACCUCAAA